Molecule: ribosomal RNA, 433 nt
Filed under: uncultured bacterium
Lineage: Bacteria
Description: partial 16S ribosomal RNA
Rfam family: Bacterial small subunit ribosomal RNA
Source: RNAcentral
AGCGAACGCUGGCGGCAGGCCUAACACAUGCAAGUCGAACGAACUCUUCGGAGUUAGUGGCGGACGGGUGAGUAACACGUGGGAACGUGCCUUUUGGUUCGGAAUAACUCAGGGAAACUUGUGCUAAUACCGAAUGUGCCCUUCGGGGGAAAGAUUUAUCGCCAUUAGAGCGGCCCGCGUCUGAUUAGCUAGUUGGUGAGGUAACGGCUCACCAAGGCGACGUUCAGUAGCUGGUCUGAGAGGAUGACCAGCCACACUGGGACUGAGACACGGCCCAGACUCCUACGGGAGGCAGGAGUAGGGAAUCUUGCGCAAUGGGCGAAAGCCUGACGCAGCCAUGCCGCGUGAAUGAUGAAGGUCUUAGGAUUGUAAAAUUCUUUCACCGGGGACGAUAAUGACGGUACCCGGAGAAGAAGCCCCGGCUAACUUCGUG